UACGUAUGGUGCGAGCGUUGUCCGGAAUUAUUGGGCGUAAAGAGCUUGUAGGUGGUUUGUCGCGUCUGCUGUGAAAAUCCGAGGCUCAACCUCGGACUUGCAGUGGGUACGGGCAGACUAGAGUGUGGUAGGGGAGACUGGAAUUCCUGGUGUAGCGGUGGAAUGCGCAGAUAUCAGGAGGAACACCGAUGGCGAAGGCAGGUCUCUGGGCCACUACUGACGCUGAGAAGCGAAAGCAUGGGGAGCGAACAGG
Molecule: ribosomal RNA, 253 nt
Filed under: uncultured bacterium
Lineage: Bacteria
Description: partial 16S ribosomal RNA
Rfam family: Bacterial small subunit ribosomal RNA
Source: RNAcentral